Helianthus annuus (common sunflower) is the source of this 161-nucleotide non-coding RNA. The record is from Rfam. Lineage: Eukaryota; Viridiplantae; Streptophyta; Magnoliopsida; Asterales; Asteraceae.
UCACUUACCUGGACAGGGUCAAUGGACGAUCAAGAAGGUCUAUGGCCUAGGUUGGUGACCUCCAUUGCACUCAGGAGGGGUGCCCGCCUAAGGUCGGCCCAAGUGGUCGAGCCUACGUCAUAAUUUGUGGCAGUGGAGGCCUGCGUUCGCGCGGCCUCUGC